This 2140-nucleotide ribosomal RNA is filed under the name Aeolothrips duvali. RNAcentral's name for it is "eukaryotic LSU rRNA". It matches the Rfam family "Eukaryotic large subunit ribosomal RNA", at positions 83 to 1900 of the family's 3401-position model. Lineage: Eukaryota; Metazoa; Arthropoda; Insecta; Thysanoptera; Aeolothripidae. The record is from RNAcentral.
GUAGCGGCGAGCGAACAGGGAAGAGCCCAGCGCUGAAUCCCCCGGGCCUGGCUCGGCGGGAAAUGUAGCGUUAGGGAGGGUUCAUUAACCCGGAUUCUCGCGACUAGUUCAAGUCCAACUUGAAUGGGGCCACACAGAGGGUGACAGGCCCGUAGAGCAGUCGCGGGGUUCGGGUGAGCCUCUCCUCAGAGUCGGUUUGCUUGAGAGUGCAGACCUAAGUGGGUGGUAAACUCCAUCUAAGGCUAAAUACGACCACGAGACCGAUAGCACACAAGUACCGUGAGGGAAAGGUGAAAAGAACUUUGAAGAGAGAGUUCAAGAGUACGUGAAACUGAAGUGGUGUAAACGGACGAGACUGGAAAGUCCGAAUGGGGAGAUUCAUGUUCGUCCGGGGCGGUCGCCCUUCGGGUUCAGAUGGUGCGGUCGGCUCGGGGGCCCUCUGUGGUUCCUGGGUUCUGUUCCGUAUCCACUCGUCCCGUCGGGUUCGUUUCCGUUCCGGCGGGCUGCACUUCUUCCCUAGUAGGACGUCGCGACCCGUUGGGGUUUUUGUCGGUCUGUGGCCUGCGGUGGAGCCCGGUCCCGGGCGUGGCCUCGUGCCGCGUCGCGGUGUCCGGACCCGCGGUGACCUGGCCGGCACCCGACGGUAGCAAAGAUUCAGGGCGAGGGACCGCACAUUGUUGCGUUUGAUGCCCUUCACGGGGCUAUCACUCGAACAGGUCCGCACCCGGUCAGCGGCGCUACUGCUUUCGGUACUCGUCCGACCCGUCUUGAAACACGGACCAAGGAGUCUAACAUGUGCGCGAGUCAUUGGGCUCACGAAACCUAAAGGCGAAAUGAAAGUGAAGGCCGAGCACUUGUGCUAGUGCCGAGGGAGGAUGGUCGGUCCUGAGUGGCCGACCCGCACUCCCGGGGCGUCUCGAUCUCUUUGAGAUGUGGCGCACCCAGAGCGUACACGUUGGGACCCGAAAGAUGGUGAACUAUGCCUGGCCAGGACGAAGUCAGGGGAAACCCUGAUGGAGGUCCGUAGCGAUUCUGACGUGCAAAUCGAUCGUCGGAGCUGGGUAUAGGGGCGAAAGACUAAUCGAACCAUCUAGUAGCUGGUUCCCUCCGAAGUUUCCCUCAGGAUAGCUGGCGCUCAUUCCGGACGUGAGACGAGUCUCAUCCGGUAAAGCGAAUGAUUAGAGGCCUUGGGGCCGAAACGACCUCAACCUAUUCUCAAACUUUAAAUGGGUGAGAUCUCCGGCUUGCUUAGGUGAAGCCGGAGACGAUUGGAUCAGAGUGCCAAGUGGGCCAAUUUUGGUAAGCAGAACUGGCGCUGUGGGAUGAACCAAACGCAGAGUUAAAGCGCCUAAAUCGACGCUCAUGGGAAACCAUGAAAGGCGUUGGUUGCUUAAGACAGCAGGACGGUGGCCAUGGAAGUCGGAAUCCGCUAAGGAGUGUGUAACAACUCACCUGCCGAAGCAACUAGCCCUGAAAAUGGAUGGCGCUGAAGCGUCGUGCUUAUACUCUGCCGCCAGGGCAAGAGAGGUUCGCCCUAGUGCGGCCAUGAAGCCCUGGUGAGUAGGAGGGUCGCGAUGGUGUGCGCAGAAGGGUCUGGGCGUGAGCCUGCCUGGAGCCGCCAUCGGUGCAGAUCUUGGUGGUAGUAGCAAAUACUCCAGAGAGGUCCUGGAGGGCUGAUGUGGUAGAAGGGUUUCGUGUGAACAGCCGUUGCACACGAGUCAGUCGAUCCUAAGCCCUAGGAGAAAUCCGAAGUCGAUGAGCGCGUCUGUUACGCAAAAGUGCAAAGAGUGACGACCGCCAUCGGGCGAAAGGGAAUCCGGUUCCUAUUCCGGAACCCAGUACCGGAACCGUUUCCAAUCGGGCCCUCAAAAGCUCGUCAGGGUAACCUAACAUGCCCCGGAGACGCCGUCGGGAGCUGCCGGGAGAGUUAUCUUUUCUGUAUAAGCGGGCAAAUUCCCUGGAAGUCCUUAGCGGAGAGAUAGGGAACAGCCCGCGAAGAGCACCGCACUUGCGGCGGUGUCGGCAGCGUCCUCUCGGACCUUGAAAAUCCGGGCGAGGGCCACGUGGACGUCCGGUCUGGUUCGUACCCAUAUCCGCAGCAGGUCUCCAAGGUUAAGAGCCUCUAGUCGAUAGAACAAUG